GAUGAACGCUGGCGGCGUGCCUAAUACAUGCAAGUCGAGCGAACAGACGAGGAGCUUGCUCCUUCGACGUUAGCGGCGGACGGGUGAGUAACACGUAGGUAACCUACCUAUAAGACUGGGAUAACUUCGGGAAACCGGAGCUAAUACCGGAUAAUAUUUCGAACCGCAUGGUUCGAUAGUGAAAGAUGGCUUUGCUAUCACUUAUAGAUGGACCUGCGCCGUAUUAGCUAGUUGGUAAGGUAACGGCUUACCAAGGCAACGAUACGUAGCCGACCUGAGAGGGUGAUCGGCCACACUGGAACUGAGACACGGUCCAGACUCCUACGGGAGGCAGCAGUAGGGAAUCUUCCGCAAUGGGCGAAAGCCUGACGGAGCAACGCCGCGUAAGUGAUGAAGGUCUUCGGAUCGUAAAACUCUGUUAUUAGGGAAGAACAAACGUGUAAGUAACUGUGCACGUCUUGACGGUACCUAAUCAGAAAGCCACGGCUAACUACGU
This 496-nucleotide ribosomal RNA is filed under the name uncultured bacterium. RNAcentral describes it as "partial 16S ribosomal RNA". It matches the Rfam family "Bacterial small subunit ribosomal RNA", at positions 28 to 506 of the family's 1533-position model. The record is from RNAcentral.